GGACGCUCAUGAGGGUUUCGGCCCUUGUGGGAGUGGCGGACGGGUGAGUAGCGCGUGGGAACCUGCCCUCUUGUGGGGGAUAACCGAGGGAAACUUCGGCUAAUACCGCAUGCGCCCCUGGGGGAGACCUUAGGGGGAAAGAUUUAUCGCAGGAGGAGGGGCCCGCGUCGGAUUAGGUAGUUGGUGGGGUAACGGCCUACCAAGCCUGUGAUCCGUAGCUGGUCUGAGAGGAUGAUCAGCCACACUGGGACUGAGACACGGCCCAGACUCCUACGGGAGGCAGCAGUGGGGAAUAUUGGACAAUGGGCGCAAGCCUGAUCCAGCAAUGCCGCGUGGGUGAUGAAGGCCUUCGGGUUGUAAAGC
Molecule: ribosomal RNA, 363 nt
Filed under: uncultured bacterium
Lineage: Bacteria
Description: bacterial SSU rRNA
Rfam family: Bacterial small subunit ribosomal RNA
Source: RNAcentral